UCCCGCGGUGAGUGACGGCGCCGCCGCCGCCGCCGCUGCCGCCGCCCAGGCUAGCGCGGAGCCUCCGCUCCAUCGCCCCGCCGCCAUGGACCUAUUCGGGGACUUGCCGGAGCCCGAGCGCGCGCCGCGGCCGUCUGCCGGGAAAGAAGCACAGGAAGGACCCGUGCUCUUCGAGGACCUGCCCCCGACCAGCAGUACUGACUCAGGUACAGUCUUCAGGCUCUCCCAGGAUCUGGGGGACCUUUACUCUUUGAUGGUCUUCCACCUGCUGGCAGCGGCAAUUCAGGUUCUCUUGCCACAUCAGGCUCCCAGGUGGUGAAGAACGAAGGAAAAGGAGCAAAGAGGAAAGCCCCUGAGGAAGAGAAGAAUGGCGGUGAAGAGCUUGUGGAAAAGAAACCUCUUCGGUGAUCUUUGGUUUGAAAGGCUACGUGGCAGAGCGGAAGGGUGAGAGGGAGGAGAUGCAGGACGCCCAUGUCAUCCUGAAUGAUAUCACUCAGGAGUGUAAUCCUCCAUCAUCUCUCAUUACUCGGGUUUCAUACUUUGCUGUUUUUGAUGG
RNAcentral lists this long non-coding RNA (556 nucleotides) under Rattus norvegicus (Norway rat). RNAcentral's name for it is "long non-coding RNA NONRATT030287". The record is from RNAcentral. Lineage: Eukaryota; Metazoa; Chordata; Mammalia; Rodentia; Muridae.